CUGUUCUUAAACUUAAACCUUGAUUUGAUAAUCUCAAUUAAUUACUUUAAUAAAAUUUUGUGGACCCUGAUAACAUCUUUGGAAACCGAAACCUUUUAUAGAUCCCGAUGUGUGUGAUCAUGUUUUAAUACAUGUUGGAACCUCCAUACAGUUACCCCACUUAAACAUAUUCCAUAUGAAGGUCGAGAUGACUUAACUCACACCCCCUCUUUGGGUACACCUAUUUGUGUACCACACAGAUAUAAUAUUAAUAGGCUUUUGAAGAUUUAUUGUGCAUGUAUAGCACGGUUGUCUAGGGGUGUAUACAUAAACAGUGAAAGCAGAGUCUUCAUAUGGGGUUUGCAAUACUGACAGUCUGUGUCAUAGGUGUAAUACAGACAUGCGGUUAGGAACUUUUCCAUUGUCAGAACACUAAUAUAUUGCAAAUAUUAAAAUCAUAUUGCUAUACCUGCAAGGAUAUGGUUUUAAUACUUCAAUUGAGUUCAAAUUGAGUAUCAAAAAUUCUAACCACAAAAACUAAAUUUCAUAUGCUUAUCAAAAAUGAGUUUAACCCCUUAGCAAUUUAAUAGAGUGACCUCUUCCCAUAGUAUGGUUCCUUUUAUAAUUAUUAUAUUAUUUAUUCUCUUCUGGGUCUGCAAAAUGCUUUCAAUAUACCAAUACAAAUAUAAUACAGUAGUUUAGAAUUGCCUCAAAAGAAAUUAUCUGAUCUCUAUUAAAAAUACCAUUUCAUCAUUUUCCUAUAAUCAAUGAGGCAUACUAGAUGAAUCUUAAUCUUGGAAAAAACCUAUCCUAUACAUCCAUAAUUUUUCUUGUUAUAUAACCAUAUAACAUAACACAUUUUUCUUUUCUUAAAUAAUGCAAUGCACUUUAAAAGUAGCGUUAACUCUAAAUACUCCCCUAAUAAUACUGAAACGUGGAUCCACGAUUUUGAAAAGCAAAUUAUAUAUUUAUUCUUUUUCUUUCCCAGGGGCCCCUUUCUUGUUGGCUGAUCAGCGUUUUUUUAAAUCUGUUGUAAAAAGACACUAAAGGCUUGCGUUAAUGACAUGCAAAUAUUCUUUAAAUAUUCUUCAUACUCAUUGUAAUAUCACACAUCAUCUUAUAGCACAGAAAACAUGUAGCAGAUAUCCAGCAGAAAUGCCAAUACAAAAAGCAUAUUCUUGGACAGGUAAUUAACUCAAUCCAAAAUAAAUUAAUAAAUGUCACACUAUGUGACGGACAUAAUUUGGUUCUCAUAUUUGUGCAUUAUGCAUGUCUGCAAACUAUGCAAGCAGUACUGCUUUAAGAUUAGAUCAGAGCACCUGGCAACUGGACAAGAAAGUCAAAUUUUGGCAGGAAGUCCAUUAUUGCAACAGAAUUUUGGAAAUCAGCUAAAAUUUACAAAAACAGACUCCCUCUUUUUUUCUUUCUUAAGACUACAACUCAUAUUGCUCUUGGACAAGUAUUCAAUAAUAAAUCAGUUAUUUAAUAGAUUAUUACGCUGCCAUUUUCAUUUGUAUCAAUACUGAUACUCAAACUUAUUCAAAUAUAAUUUAAAAUAACACAGUAAAAUACCCAUUAACAUACAUGACAAUUAAACUGCGCACUUCAAAAUGAGUACCCAAAACAAACAUUUAUGACAAUCAUCAUUCACACAGAAUAAACUUCUAACAGCUGUAUUCAGAACAUAUUAUUGUAAGGUAUACCAAUUUUAGUUUGUAUUGGAUUUAUUUAAGAUUUCUGGUACCAAAGGGUUUAUUUUUUCUUUUUAAAGAAGGGAUCCGUACGGCCAUAUAACGCGUUUGACUUAAACAUUUGUAUAACACUUGCAUUAACCAGUUGCAACAUAUGUACCCUGUCAAUAGAAUUUCUCUCUUAUACGCUUAUAGAACAUUUGGACCAGAUUACACAGACAUGGUAUCACCUGCAUUUGUCAGAACUCUCAAAGACUCAAAAUAUUUAUACUACUCCAUGUUAAAGGCAUGGCAAAACUUUGACCGGUCAAUUUGAGUUUCCAAAAGUCAUAUCAACACAGGUUAAAACCUUUGUCCAUGGUUUUCUGAUCCUACAUUCCAUGACCAAAAUUUCAAACCCACUUCUUCACAGUUUGGGUCGCAAGCAAUAAAAUCUCAGCAUUCCCAUACAACAAUUUACAGAAUACAUACAAUUUAAAGCACAUACAACAUGUGACAUACUGGAAUACUACAAGUUAGCUUACAGCACAAUAUGAAGCAUGUGUUGGAACGCUGAAAAUAUACAUUUUGCUCUCUAAUUUAUAAUCUUCUAAAUUUACAACAUAAAUUCUCUGCAACAAACACACAGGGCAGAAAGAAUGUGGUGUUUGACGUUUUGAAUGAAGUGACUUUUUGUCCCAAUAUGAAAAUAAAGGGCUCAUCAUAUAAACAAUCAUACAUCCCACUUCUGACACCAAUUUGUUGGGGAUACAAUCAGCCUGGGCCCUUUGUG
Pelobates cultripes (western spadefoot toad) is the source of this 2442-nucleotide non-coding RNA. Lineage: Eukaryota; Metazoa; Chordata; Amphibia; Anura; Pelobatidae. The record is from the annotation of a GenBank genome assembly.